RNAcentral lists this long non-coding RNA (2133 nucleotides) under Cyanistes caeruleus (blue tit). RNAcentral describes it as "lncRNA (ENSCCEG00000009091.1)". The record is from RNAcentral. Lineage: Eukaryota; Metazoa; Chordata; Aves; Passeriformes; Paridae.
CCCUCCGUCCCUUCGGGCUUCCGUCCCUCCUUUGGGCCCUUCAGUCCCGGACUCAGAGCGGAGUUGUCCGCGGGUUGCCCCCGCCCGACCUCCCGGAGGUGAAAAUGGAGCGCGGCGGCCUCCCGGGGCCGUUUUACACCUUCAUGGGGGCGGCUGCCUGCUCUGAGGGCUCUGAGGAUCUCUCCGGGCUGUAAACCCCUCCGGAGGAUGUGAACCUCUGUCCUCUCCUGCCCCCAGCCCUAAGCUUCUCUAAGGGGAUCUGCGCGGCUGAACAAAGAACGUUGUGUGAGGCGAGGGCUGUAAGCGCUGUUAAUUUGCAUCGGGGAGGGGGGGAAAAAAAACCCCACCAACCCACCUAAAAAAUGUUUCCCUGUGUUGCAUGGAUCACGGAGGAAAACAGCCGUGCACGGCAGCCCAGCGGCGAACAAUGCCUUUUUAUGUAAGAGAAAAUGAUGUAAAACGUGCCCGGCUCAGAUGGCUGCAGGUAGGAGCCGUAGGCGUGUGCUGCGCUGCUGUGCUGCCGUGGUGCUGCACCGAGGCACCGAAUAAACCCUGCUCGCCUUCAUCUGCCCUGUACUCCUUGGACACACUCCGAUCUGCCCUUUGGAUAACAAGUGCUUCAUGGAACACCUUCGGGAAAGAAGGGGGUGUGGCGCAUGCCGGGAGAAUUGCUCUCGGUAUGAAAGCCUUGAAGCAAUGCAAUGCAAGUUUUUCGAAGCUGACAUAAGAAAAUAUUGGAUAUGCUGCCAAGUCCAUGUGGGUGGAGAAAAAAAGGAGGUGUUACUGAUUUUUAUAAACACUUGUGUUCUGAAGAAAGAAAGGAAAAAAGGAACAAGACUUUCCCAGUGGUUCUCUGAGAAUGUAAAUGCCAUGAGUAUUUUGAUUAAUGGCAGAAAUGGCAUUUCCUGUGUUGUCUUUAUUGCUCAAUUGCCUUGUCCUAGUUACAUAAGUUGUAUUUUAUCAACUGGAGCAGAUGAAUAAAAAACCAGUUGGAGAACUCUACGAGUCUUCCUCAUAAUUUCCAGCUGAAUUACUCAUACUCACAGCUGUGUGAAAAGAGAGAUCAGGUAUUCUGCAUCAAAGCAUUGAAGUUGCAUCCUUUCACCUGUAAACUGAAUAUUUUGCCUUAUAUUUGAUGAUAUAUAGGUGGAAAACUUGAAAAUUAGCACAAACAUCCAUCAUUUUCCACAGAAACAAAUCUCAAAAGUUUUUAUCAAUUAUGUGACUUUUUUUUAUCUUUGAUAAAACCUUAUUUCUUGCACUGGUUGGAGACAAAUUAAUUGUCACACUUAUAUUUACACUUCAUGUGGUGAGGGAUGCUUGUCACCAGCCUAUAUAAACCAUUUGCUUUACAACAAUAUAUUGAUCAGCCCAAUAUAAUGUUUUAUUUAUGCAGCCAAAUCUAAAAAAGAUACUUUUUAUCUGUGUAGAUGAUUAAUUACGACAGACGUUUAGACAGUAUUCAGGUAAUUUUGAGUUCUUUAAAAGAUGACAGUAACUUUUAAAAUAUUUGGCAGUGCACAGUGUGACCUGGAAGUGGAGACUCUAGUGGCUGUUCACUUUGAGUCACAGGAGGAGAGGCUUGGAACUGCCUGGACUCACAGCCCUGUUUGCUCUCCAUUCUGGUCCUCUUGCUAGGCUCAUACAAGAUGGCCCUCUAAAGAUGCUGUGUAGUUUUUAUUAAUCUUUUUAACCUGGCAGCAAGAAAUUAAAUGACAUAUCCAGUUAUGAAUUACCACUGGUCUGUGACAGCAGAGAAUGCCCUUGAUUGUCACAUGGUCCAUGUAAUCUUAGCCAGCAAGGGCAAAGCCCUGAAAGUACUCUGUCUACAAAACAGAGAACACAUCUUCCUCCAGUCACAGGUUGGACCAAACCAUUUUGUUUUCAAUUCACCCACUCAUCCCCACCAGUUUUCCCAGGUCUUUUGAUCUCCCUUUCUAAGAUGUCACAAAACUGAAAAGGGACCAAGCAUUAGCUAAGGUGCCCACUUGCAGGUGCUGCGAGUGCCUCUGACCACAACCACUUCCAAAGGCUCAAAUGCAAAACAUGAACAAUGCUUGUUCAAAACAGCUGGUUUUAAACUGCAAAAAAGAUUAAAAAAAAAAUAAAUCUGGUGUUCCCAUACUGCCUACA